RNAcentral lists this long non-coding RNA (1204 nucleotides) under Taeniopygia guttata (zebra finch). Its description in RNAcentral is "lncRNA (ENSTGUG00000023537.1)". The record is from RNAcentral. Lineage: Eukaryota; Metazoa; Chordata; Aves; Passeriformes; Estrildidae.
CAGCCACCCCAGAGCCCCGAGGAUCCCAACUCUCCCAGUGCUCCCAGCACGGGGCACCCCUGGGUGCUCCCUGUCCCCCCUGACCCCACUGUCCCCCUGACCCCACUGUCCCCCCUGACCCCAAUGUCCCCCCUGACCCCACUGUCCCCCUGACCCCAAUGUCCCCCCUGACCCCAGUGUCCCCCCUGACCCCGAUGUCCCCCCUGACCCCGCUGUCCCCCCAGGCAGCAAUUUCGGGGGCGGGGGCAGCUACAACGACUUCGGCAGCUACAACAACCAGGCCUCGAGCUUCGGGCCCAUGAAGGGCGGCAGCUUCGGGGGGCGCAGCUCGGGCCCCUACGGCGGCGGUGAGUCCCCAAAACCCCCAAAAAUCACCUGGGGAACCCCAAAAUAUCCCAAAUGUACCGGGGGCAGCUUCGGGGGGCGCAGCUCGGGGCCCUACGGCGGCGGUGAGUCCCCAAACCCCCAAAAAUCACCUGGGGAACCCCAAAAUCACCUGGGGAACCCCAAAAAUCACCUGGGGAACCCCAAAAUAUCCCACAUGUACCGGGGGCAGCUUCGGGGGGCGCAGCUCGGGGCCCUACGGCGGCGGCGGCUACGGCAGCUCCAGCGGCGGCGGCAGCUACGGAGGAGGAAGGAGGUUUUAACGGCCAGGAGCCGGAGCUGGGCGGGAGCCGGGGCGGCCCCUGGAGCCGGCGCUGGGCCGGGAGAGCCCCGGGACCGUCUGGGGACCCCCCGGGAUCCCCCCAGGACCCUGCUGGGAGCCCCCCGGAUCCCCCGGGACUUCCCGGGAUCCCCCCGGGACCCUCAGGGGACCCCCGGGACCUCCGGGAGUCCCCCCGGAAUUCCCGGGGCCGCCGAGGCCGGGUCCCCCCGGGUCCCCCCGGGUCCCCCCGUAGUUCCGGAGCGGAGUGGCCGGAAUCCCCCCCGUGUCCUGUACCCCCCCUCAAUAAAUGUCUCUUGGGAUUUUUUUUUUUAAUUGGUUUUUACCAUUAUCGUUCAUUUUAGAGCUGGGGGUGGCGCUCUGCUCCUGAUUGGUCACCUCAGCUGUCAGUCACAGCCGGGCUCCGCCCCCGCCCACAUCUGCUGUCACCCGGGGCGUCCCCAAAGUGUCCCUGAGUGUCCCCCAAUGUCCCCGGCCCCUGGUGGGUGACACAGAGGUGCCAACCCUGUCCCCCAAUGUCCCCCAAUGUCCCCCAAUGUC